This 253-nucleotide ribosomal RNA is filed under the name uncultured bacterium. Its description in RNAcentral is "partial 16S ribosomal RNA". It matches the Rfam family "Bacterial small subunit ribosomal RNA", at positions 524 to 776 of the family's 1533-position model. The record is from RNAcentral.
UACGGAGGGGGCAAGCGUUUUUCGGAAUUACUGGGCGUAAAGGGCGUGUAGGCGGAUCUGCCAGUCAGAGGUGAAAGCCCCGGGCUCAACCUGGGAACGGCCUUUGAUACUGCAGAUCUAGAGUCCGGGAGAGGAUCGUGGAAUUCCCAGUGUAGAGGUGAAAUUCGUAGAUAUUGGGAAGAACACCAGUGGCGAAGGCGGCGAUCUGGACCGGUACUGACGCUGAGGCGCGAAAGCGUGGGGAGCAAACAGG